AUAAAUCUAGUUUAAGCAAAACAUUAACGUGUGGAGUUAAUAAUUCUUUAAUAUUAAUAU
RNAcentral lists this transfer RNA (60 nucleotides) under Philodromus sp. Its description in RNAcentral is "tRNA-His". Lineage: Eukaryota; Metazoa; Arthropoda; Arachnida; Araneae; Philodromidae. The record is from RNAcentral.